Dipodomys spectabilis (banner-tailed kangaroo rat) is the source of this 107-nucleotide small nuclear RNA. Lineage: Eukaryota; Metazoa; Chordata; Mammalia; Rodentia; Heteromyidae. The record is from RefSeq and is a predicted model, not a curated record.
GUGCUCGCUUUGGCAGCACAUAUACUAAAAUGGGAAUGAAACAGAGAACGUUAGCAUGGCCCUUGCGCAAGGAUGACACGCAAAUUUGUGUAGCAUUCCAUAUUUUU